This is a non-coding RNA of Hydra vulgaris (swiftwater hydra), 475 nucleotides long. NCBI's taxonomy places the organism in Eukaryota, Metazoa, Cnidaria, Hydrozoa, Anthoathecata, Hydridae. The record is from RefSeq and is a predicted model, not a curated record.
GUUUAAAAUUGGUUUAGAUCACGUUUAGAUGGCAUUUACGUCGAUCUAAACGUUUAGGAAUCUAAUCUAAACGUGUUCUGAAUAUUUAAUUUGCGUUGAAAAGCUAAAUCAAACAAUUUCCGUACGGAACUAACUAAAUUAAAUUAGUUUCUUACAAAAUGUGUCGGACAUUUUGAAUCUUUCAUUAUGAUUAAAAAUUAGAGUUUCUUAUUAAUCUUAAAUUAUGUAAUAAAGGUUUAGAAAAAAUAAAAGAAAUUUGUUUUUAGUAUUAUAUUGUGGCUAAUGAAGGAGUUAAAAAGUCCUUCCAGUCAGUUGCAACAACAAUUAAAGCAGCAGGAAACAGCCAAGUACACAUGCAAGUGAUUGUUAUGAGGAUUGCAAAACUUUUAAAUAUCAGAAACUGAAGAAAGCAUUCAUAAUCAGCAGAUAUCAAAAAAGCGCAAAAUUGAGGAAGAAUUUUAUGUUAAUGUUAAUG